RNAcentral lists this ribosomal RNA (498 nucleotides) under uncultured bacterium. RNAcentral's name for it is "partial 16S ribosomal RNA". It matches the Rfam family "Bacterial small subunit ribosomal RNA", at positions 30 to 523 of the family's 1533-position model. The record is from RNAcentral.
AUUGAACGCUGGCGGCAUGCCUUACACAUGCAAGUCGAACGGUAACAGGUCUUCGGAUGCUGACGAGUGGCGAACGGGUGAGUAAUACAUCGGAACGUGCCUAGUAGUGGGGGAUAACUACUCGAAAGAGUGGCUAACACCGCAUGAGAUCUACGGAUGAAAGCAGGGGAUCGCAAGACCUUGUGCUACUAGAGCGGACGAUGGCAGAUUAGGUAGUUGGUGGGAUAAAAGCUUACCAAGCCGACGAUCUGUAGCUGGUCUGAGAGGACGAUCAGCCACACUGGGACUGAGACACGGCCCAGACUCCUACGGGAGGCAGCAGUGGGGAAUUUUGGACAAUGGGCGCAAGCCUGAUCCAGCAAUGCCGCGUGCAGGAUGAAGGCCUUCGGGUUGUAAACUGCUUUUGUACGGAACGAAAAGCCCCGGGUUAAUACCCUGGGGUCAUGACGGUACCGUAAGAAUAAGCACCGGCUAACUACGUGCCAGCCGCCGCAGUAA